GAUGAACGCUGGCGGCGUGCUUAACACAUGCAAGUCGAACGGUGAACACGGAGCUUGCUCUGUAGGAUCAGUGGCGAACGGGUGAGUAACACGUGAGCAACCUGCCCCUGACUCUGGGAUAAGCGCUGGAAACGGCGUCUAAUACUGGAUAUGUGACGUGACCGCAUGGUCUGCGUUUGGAAAGAUUUUUCGGUUGGGGAUGGGCUCGCGGCCUAUCAGCUUGUUGGUGAGGUAAUGGCUCACCAAGGCGUCGACGGGUAGCCGGCCUGAGAGGGUGACCGGCCACACUGGGACUGAGACACGGCCCAGACUCCUACGGGAGGCAGCAGUGGGGAAUAUUGCACAAUGGGCGCAAGCCUGAUGCAGCAACGCCGCGUGAGGGAUGACGGCCUUCGGGUUGUAAACCUCUUUUAGCAGGGAAGAAGCGAAAGUGACGGUACCUGCAGAAAAAGCGCCGGCUAACUACGUG
RNAcentral lists this ribosomal RNA (469 nucleotides) under uncultured bacterium. RNAcentral describes it as "partial 16S ribosomal RNA". It matches the Rfam family "Bacterial small subunit ribosomal RNA", at positions 28 to 507 of the family's 1533-position model. The record is from RNAcentral.